This is a non-coding RNA of Rattus norvegicus (Norway rat), 883 nucleotides long. Lineage: Eukaryota; Metazoa; Chordata; Mammalia; Rodentia; Muridae. The record is from RefSeq and is a predicted model, not a curated record.
GAAAUAAAUCUGUAUUGGUCCCAAGCGGCAAAGAAUUCUGGGUGAAGGGCCGAGCCUGAACGAACUUCACCCAGAGUGGACGUGAGGCGCACAGCCCUACACAGGGUCCAAGUCCCAUUCAGCCCUGAAGAAACAAAUAUGCAAAACCAACGGGCAGCUUGCACAGAGCACGGACCCUCCUCUGCCUGCAACCAGCACACAGCCUCACCCUAGGCAGGGCAGGUAUACUAUGAGAGGCUCUGCGGUGUCACCUGGAGUUCAAGGCCCUCUUACGUCAAAGGUCUCAGAGGCAAGACCUGAGCCAAGGCCAUUUGAGCACGCCUGGGCCGCUCGCUGGCUUCAGCCUUCAUCAGAUAGCUAAGAAGAUGGCCGGCUAAAGUCCCGGCCUUCCUGGAUUAAAACCCCUUGGCCCUUACCAACACUUAACGAUUUCCCUGCUGCCUGGUCUUAACCGAGCCUGGAUGGUGAGCCCUAGCCUGCGGUGCUCGGCAGGGCUGGAGUCAGGCCUGGAUAACCUCACCCUGGCGCGCUUCAGAAGCACUGCGGCAGCGGGGCAGAAGCAAAGAAUUCAGCGGAGCCGAGGGUCACUCUUUCCUUCAACUGGACUUCCCUGCCAGCCCACAGACACAACGAAUUACUUCUGCCUCUCAAGGCCUGAGUCUUAGGCCUCCUCCUCCAAGAAGCCAUCUCCACCCUUGAGCCCGAAGUUGCAUCUUGGCUCUUUGCAAGCAGCACGUCCCUCAUGGUCGGCGAGGAUUUCCUAACGUUCGCCAGUGCUUCCGGGCCUGCAGAUUAGAUUAGGAGCUUCCUGCGGGCAGCGACCAGCUCUGCUUCCUUUCAAUUUCCCUAGACACCUGCACACAAUAAAUAUUUGCUGAAUCGA